AUUGGCUUACCAUCCCAACUUGUGCCAGACCACCCAGGAUGCUGAAGGCCGCCACUACCCUGGUUUCUUCUGUCCCCGGCUCUCUGAUACUCCCGAGGAAGCCUACUGCUGUCACCUGCAGGCUGCAGGGGGCUACUGCUGUACCCAGGAUGAAUUUGAGGCCCUAUACCAAGUCAACCUGUCUGCUCUUCCUCCGCCACCCAUCCUUAGGGGCCCGGGUGCUUUCCUAGCCCUGGGCCUCUACAGCCU
Molecule: long non-coding RNA, 249 nt
Filed under: Ictidomys tridecemlineatus (thirteen-lined ground squirrel)
Lineage: Eukaryota; Metazoa; Chordata; Mammalia; Rodentia; Sciuridae
Description: lncRNA (ENSSTOG00000030338.1)
Source: RNAcentral